CCCUUAGAUGUCCUUGGCCGCACGCGUGCAACACUGACGCCUACAGCGGGUACUUCCCAGCCCCAAGAGGUGGCUGGUAAUCAGCAAUAGGCGUCGUGAUCGGGAUAGAUCUUUGGAAUUAUGGAUCUUGAAUCGAGGAAUGCCUAUUAGGCGCAGGUCAUUAGCCUGCGCUGAUUAAGUCCCAGCCCUUUGUACACACCGCCCGUCGCUCCUACCGAUUUCGAGUGGUCCAGUGAAUCUUUCGGACUGCGCGCGGCUUUGUACCAGUGUCGCGGAAAGUCAGGUAAACCUUAUCACUUAGAGGAAGGAGAAGUCGUAACA
Molecule: ribosomal RNA, 321 nt
Filed under: uncultured eukaryote
Lineage: Eukaryota
Description: partial 18S ribosomal RNA
Rfam family: Eukaryotic small subunit ribosomal RNA
Source: RNAcentral